Molecule: long non-coding RNA, 358 nt
Filed under: Mus pahari (shrew mouse)
Lineage: Eukaryota; Metazoa; Chordata; Mammalia; Rodentia; Muridae
Description: lncRNA (MGP_PahariEiJ_G0006167.1)
Source: RNAcentral
CAGCAUGGACUUGAUCUCAAGCAGCUUCUCCAUUAUCAAGAGCUGGAGUCAUGUGAGUGAUGAUAUUACAGGAUACGAAGGGGUGACAAGGAGGUAUACCUAAAGCAUCAAAAGGGAGAGUUCUACAACUUCCCCAGGGAUCUGUCAUGAUGCCGCUCUUCCCAAAUAACCCGGCCCAUCACUUUCAGCCAUUCUGCCAUGAACAGCUUUGCACUUGAGGCCAUGGGAAUUCAGAAUGCGAAUCUUCCUCAGAGCUACGUGUGGGUUUCAUCACAUGGCUCUGCAUGGAGAAAUGACCUCAUCCCAGACUGCUUGUUCAGGUGGCUGCAGAAUCUUGCCAAGUUUUCUCUAGAACACU